UACAGAGGUGGCAAGCGUUGUUCGGAAUUACUGGGCGUAAAGGGCGCGUAGGCGGCCUUCUAAGUCAGACGUGAAAUCCCUCAGCUUAACUGGGGAACUGCGUCUGAUACUGGCGAGCUUGAGUGCAGGAGAGGAACGCGGAAUUCCAGGUGUAGCGGUGAAAUGCGUAGAUAUCUGGAGGAACACCGGUGGCGAAGGCGGCGUUCUGGACUGCAACUGACACUGAUAAACGAAAGCCAGGGUAGCAAACGGG
RNAcentral lists this ribosomal RNA (253 nucleotides) under uncultured bacterium. RNAcentral describes it as "partial 16S ribosomal RNA". It matches the Rfam family "Bacterial small subunit ribosomal RNA", at positions 524 to 776 of the family's 1533-position model. The record is from RNAcentral.